GUAUAGGUUUAAUGACUGCGCGCUAGCACAAUCUUUAAUUGACAUUCUGUAACUUUAUAGUGUAUAUGAAAACAUAGCCCUCGAAGAGGAAAGCAAGCAGAGGAAGGGCUCACACCCAUUCCCCCAAACCGCAUCGCUGCGAGAGGUUCACUUUCAUUCAAAGGACUACAAAAGGUGCACAAGAGAAGAUAAAUAGUAUGGGACGAGCACGUGCUCAGUAAAGAGCCAGCAUCAGUCGCCAAACGUAUUCAAUAAUGAUCCUUCCGCAGGUUCACCUACGGAAA
RNAcentral lists this unclassified non-coding RNA (284 nucleotides) under uncultured fungus. RNAcentral describes it as "sequence contains ITS1". The record is from RNAcentral. Lineage: Eukaryota; Fungi.